GGAGCCCCGGCGGGGGGAUGGGGGCGCGGCGCGGAGCGCGCCCGCGAGCUGUUUACUCGCGGCGAAGGGGAGGAGUGUGUGCGGCCGCCGGCUGCUCCGAAAGCCGGCGGCUGCGGCUCUCCUCCCCUGCGCCGUCCCCGCCCUGGGCCGUCGGAACUGCGCGCUCCGCUCGCUGCCCGCGGCGCGCCCAUGGGCUGGGGAAGGGGCCGGCGGGAGCCAGGCGCAGCCCGGGUGCGGGUGUGCGGGUGUCGCAGCUGAGCACGGGUGUGCGUUGUCCGCGGGCCCGGGCUGGGCAGGGGGAGGGGAGGCUCGAGGUGCUCCUCCGGCUCCUACCGUGCUGCGCAGCGUGGGCUCCGCCAGCGGGUGCCGGCCGCGGGGAGGCUGGUCCGCGCCGCCGGAAGGAGGACGGUGGAUGGAGAGGGAGAAAGGAUCGCCGCCUGGGACCCUACCCCGAGCCAAGCCGGAGACCGGCUCAGACCGUGGCUCUUGUGUGGUCGAGCUGUCUUUAUCCGUUUGACAUGACAUCCUGACUUCCUCUUUAGUCGCCCAGAGGCUGGUGGGUGGGUGGUGCGCGAUGGGGACCCUUGGAGAAGGCGCUUUUGGUUCUGGCCGGUGUCUCCCGGGAGGAGGUGAAGUCCCGGGGCUCCACUCUCAGCGGUGGACCACCCUACCCUCUCUGUGCCUCUGUGUAUCAGUUUUGUUGCUUUCCUUGCUGAGACACCGCGCAGGGUAGCUUCGGAGUCCUGGUUUGGAGAAGUGAGGUUGUUUGCUGACUCGGUUGACAGUCCUUGCUGCAGGUCUGUGGAAUGGAAACACUCCAUCUUUGCGGACUUUGCUGCUCUUAGGAUAUUGACACUCACGGGCGCCCAACCAAGUUGCCUGACCAAACUCUGCAGCUUCUUUCACGAAAAAGAAAAAAGGAAAAAGCUUGCUUUUUUCCCCCUGCCAUUUUAUUCAUGGAUAGUGAAAUGAGCACUGUUUGGGGGUCCGGGUAGGCGCAGAGGCAGUCUUGACUUUGACACCCUGCCAAACAUGCCAUUCCUUGGUAUGAAACAUCUCCUGCAUCUCCAAUGGGUUGCAUUUGUUGCCUUGCUGUCCCCAAGUAGAAUCCAGUCAGAGCAUCCUGCGAUUUAGAUGCAAUCACCAGAAUGAUUGCUCUUAUAUCGCUUAGAGUCAAAAUUUUGCUUUGUUUUCUCUAAGUAUUUACAGGCUUUUUUUUUUUUCUUUGUGUGGAGAAAAGAUCACCGAAUUAACAUUCAUCUUAUCCUUAAAUUUAGCAGGAAGAACAGCUGGUAAUUGUGAGGAAUCUGCUUGUUACCAUUGGCUCCAGAGCACUUUAAAGUGUUUCACAGGCUGCAGAAGAGGAGCCUGGGGCCCUGGAAGACGAUGGAGCCUCCGCUAGCUGCAUGGAGCCCAGCCCUCUACUGACCUGCACUGGACCCGAACCUGAGCAAGAAAUACUCUUACUGAGCUCUACCACCGAGCCGUAGGGGAUGUUUGAAUUUGUUUAUUUGUCAGAGGGAGAGAGAGAGAGCACAAGCAGGGGGAACAGCAGGCAG
This is a long non-coding RNA of Ailuropoda melanoleuca (giant panda), 1559 nucleotides long. RefSeq lists it as uncharacterized. The record is from RefSeq and is a predicted model, not a curated record. NCBI's taxonomy places the organism in Eukaryota, Metazoa, Chordata, Mammalia, Carnivora, Ursidae. The transcript has 3 exons.